Long non-coding RNA from Macrobrachium nipponense, 676 nucleotides. RefSeq lists it as uncharacterized. Lineage: Eukaryota; Metazoa; Arthropoda; Malacostraca; Decapoda; Palaemonidae. The transcript has 4 exons. The record is from RefSeq and is a predicted model, not a curated record.
UAAAAUUCUCUUGGUCGUGGACACCCAGUCGCUGGUAAUGAUAUAUAAGGCUUCGAUCGCGCGGUUAACUGCAGAAGGUAGUCGACUGUCGAUCGUCACAUACACCCACACGUAACCGGGAAACACUUGACUCAUAAUGAUGUCCUGCAAACUUUUGCUUUUGGCCAUGUUAGUGGGGACUGCGCUAGCUGCCGCUAACCCAUGGGCCCUGCCUUCUCUACCACCCCCUCCCGUCGGGAAGUGUGACAAUUGGUGUGGAACUCCCCCGAACCUUGUCUGCUGUGACAAGAAGUGUCCCGUUGAUACACGCCCACCUGGUGACUGCAACAGGCCUGGAGCGGCAGGUUUCGGCGGCGUUUCGGGUCCCAGGCGUUGCACAAAAGACUUAGACUGCCACGGAGGGGCUCUUUGUUGCUGGGACAGUUGCCUCCGCUACAAGAAAUGCACCAACGUCUGAGUGUAAACUGCUGUGCCUUCGACAUCACCUCCAGAACAUCAUUUCCCUUCACUGAUGUUCAGGGUGAAGCGAGAGUUAAGGCCUUCCCUGCUCGCAGAUUCAUUUCCUGUGGCUAAAAGUAAUGAUAUGCUGGCAAUGUUAACCUGUCAUGUGUGUUGUCUUUUUCCUUAUUAAAAUGAAACUGUGUAAAUGUUGAUCUGCAGUAAAUUUUUGGCCAAA